UACGUAGGGUGCGAGCGUUGUCCGGAAUUAUUGGGCGUAAAGGGCUCGUAGGCGGUUUGUCGCGUCGGGAGUGAAAACCUUGGGCUUAACUCAGGGCUUGCUUUCGAUACGGGCAGACUAGAGGUAUGCAGGGGAGAACGGAAUUCCUGGUGUAGCGGUGAAAUGCGCAGAUAUCAGGAGGAACACCUAUGGCGAAGGCAGCUCGCUGGGACGGUACUGACGCUGAGGCGCGAAAGCGUGGGGAGCAAACAGG
This 253-nucleotide ribosomal RNA is filed under the name uncultured bacterium. RNAcentral describes it as "partial 16S ribosomal RNA". It matches the Rfam family "Bacterial small subunit ribosomal RNA", at positions 524 to 776 of the family's 1533-position model. The record is from RNAcentral.